Molecule: non-coding RNA, 132 nt
Organism: Gossypium hirsutum (cotton)
Lineage: Eukaryota; Viridiplantae; Streptophyta; Magnoliopsida; Malvales; Malvaceae
Source: Rfam
UAUUAAAAAUUUCAUCCAUUUCUAUCAUUAAAAACUGGUUUGGUUGACAAAAUAACCAAAACAGCCGCAUGUACCUUAUUUUGAUAUACAAGUACCGGUUUUUAACCAUAGAAAUGGAUGGAUUUUUUAACA